This 465-nucleotide ribosomal RNA is filed under the name Vreelandella stevensii. Its description in RNAcentral is "partial 16S ribosomal RNA". It matches the Rfam family "Bacterial small subunit ribosomal RNA", at positions 338 to 795 of the family's 1533-position model. The record is from RNAcentral. Lineage: Bacteria; Pseudomonadati; Pseudomonadota; Gammaproteobacteria; Oceanospirillales; Halomonadaceae.
CCUACGGGGGGCUGCAGUGGGGAAUAUUGGACAAUGGGCGAAAGCCUGAUCCAGUCAUGCCGCGUGUGUGAAGAAGGCCUUCGGGUUGUAAAGCACUUUCAGUGGGGAAGAAAGCCUUGGGGCUAAUACCCUCGAGGAAGGACAUCACCCACAGAAGAAGCACCGGCUAACUCCGUGCCAGCAGCCGCGGUAAUACGGAGGGUGCGAGCGUUAAUCGGAAUUACUGGGCGUAAAGCGCGCGUAGGCGGUCUGAUAAGCCGGUUGUGAAAGCCCCGGGCUCAACCUGGGAACGGCAUCCGGAACUGUCAGGCUAGAGUGCAGGAGAGGAAGGUAGAAUUCCCGGUGUAGCGGUGAAAUGCGUAGAGAUCGGGAGGAAUACCAGUGGCGAAGGCGGCCUUCUGGACUGACACUGACGCUGAGGUGCGAAAGCGUGGGUAGCAAACAGGAUUAGAUACCCGAGUAGUC